AGUGAGCGCUGGCGGUAGGCCUAACACAUGCAAGUCGAACGGCAGCACAGUAAGAGCUUGCUCUUACGGGUGGCGAGUGGCGGACGGGUGCGGAAUACAUCGGAAUCUACUUUUUCGUGGGGAUAACGUAGGGAAACUUACGCUAAUACCGCAUACGACCUACGGGUGAAAGCUGGGGAUCUUCGGACCUUGCGCGAUUGAAUGAGCCGAUGUCGGAUUAGCUAGUUGGCGGGGUAAAGGCCCACCAAGGCGACGAUCCGUAGCUGGUCUGAGAGGAGGAUCAGCCACACUGGAACUGAGACAGGGUCCAGACUCCUACGGGAGGCAGCGGUGGGGAAUAUUGGACAAUGGGCGCAAGCCUGAUCCAGCCAGACCGCGUGGGUGAAGAAGGCCUUCGGGUUGUAAAGCCCUUUUGUUGGGAAAGAAAAGCAGCAGGUUAAUACCCCGCUGUUCUGACGGUACCCAAAGAAUAAGCACCGGCUAACUUCGG
RNAcentral lists this ribosomal RNA (490 nucleotides) under uncultured bacterium. Its description in RNAcentral is "partial 16S ribosomal RNA". It matches the Rfam family "Bacterial small subunit ribosomal RNA", at positions 29 to 506 of the family's 1533-position model. The record is from RNAcentral.